CAAUAGCGUAUAUUUAAGUUGCUGCAGUUAAAAAGCUCGUAGUUGGAUUUCGGGUGGGAAUGGCCGGUCCGCCGUUUCGGUGUGCACUUGCUACGCCCACCUUGCUGCCGGGGACGUGCUCUUGAGUUCACGCUCGGGACACGGAGUCGGCGAGGUUACUUUGAGUAAAUUAGAGUGUUCAAAGCAGGCCUACGCUCUGAAUACAUUAGCAUGGAAUAACACGAUAGGACUCUGGCCUAUCUUGUUGGUCUGUAGGACCGGAGUAAUGAUUAAGAGGGACAGUCGGGGGCAUUCGUAUUUCAUUGUCAGAGGUGAAAUUCUUGGAUUUAUUGAAGACUAACUACUGCGAAAGCAUUUGCCAAGGAUGUUUUCAUUAA
This 377-nucleotide ribosomal RNA is filed under the name uncultured eukaryote. Its description in RNAcentral is "partial 18S ribosomal RNA". It matches the Rfam family "Eukaryotic small subunit ribosomal RNA", at positions 592 to 976 of the family's 1831-position model. The record is from RNAcentral.